Long non-coding RNA from Macadamia integrifolia, 2119 nucleotides. RefSeq lists it as uncharacterized. The transcript has 2 exons. NCBI's taxonomy places the organism in Eukaryota, Viridiplantae, Streptophyta, Magnoliopsida, Proteales, Proteaceae. The record is from RefSeq and is a predicted model, not a curated record.
UCGUUAGGGGUUUAUAUGACCUUUGAUAUGGACCGAAAUCCAGUGACGGACUAAUCAGUCAAUAUUAGAAAAGCUAAGGAGGAUAAGGUAAUUAGGUCUAAUGUUUCACACACCAGUGAGGAAGGAUUAGGGUUUCCAAAUCGCCAAUUGCGGACCAUCCCCACCAUUAUAAAUUCCGUCUGAUAGCUCCCUACUGUUUUGUUCUUCCCCUGCUUCUCAAGUUUCUCUACGACUUCGUUCUAAUUUGAUUCUUCAGUUCGUUCCCUUGCGAUCCAAGGAGGUCACUGUGGGUUCAUUUCAGGAGCCUUCAAGGCUCUGAUAGAUAAGUUUACGCCUUUAGUGUUCUUCAGAUUUUCUUUUUGGUCCUGGUUCAAGAUUUUUCUGUUUGAUAUCAGUGAUUUGUCGAUAGUUGGAUCUACAGAAACAAAUUCUCAAAAUGGCCGGUGAUGGAUAAAAAUUAUCCGUGUCUUCUGAGAUAUUUUAAUAGAUUCAUUGAUGUUUAUUUUUUCUACCUCUAGCUUCUGAGGCCAUUUCAUAGUUUUACCUGCAGAUCUCUUAUUCUCAUUCUCUACUGACGAACUUUUUUUUUCUUUUUUUCUUUCUGUUAAUUCGUUUAAAUUUUGUUAGACAGGGGCGAUGACGAUGAUUAUACCAUCAAACUUUGAAAGCUUUAUAUUGUUUAUUAUUAACUGUGUAGGUAAUGGAGAAAUGGAUGUGAGAUGGAGAAUGAGAGGGAAAGGCAACAAAUUAGAGUCUCUGAUGCGCUCUUUGCUAUAGCGUAUUCAGCGCUGUACGUUGCCGAUAGAGAAUCGAAAGGAGAUUCUGGCAUUCGUCGCUUUAUCAUCGGCGUAUGCAUUCAGAUAUUCGAACAUUCCAUCCCUCGAUAGAUUCUAAAUUCUAAAUUCCAAAUACUGCGCAGCUUUUUCAUUUUAUUUGAACUUUCUUUCUUUUUAGGGUUCUUGGAUGUUUCAAGUUUCAAUUUUUUUUUUUAUAACGAUUUUUAAGCAGUUUAUGGUUAGGAAGAAAUUUGGUUCAAGGCAAGUCAGCUUCUUGUCUGGACUUAGAUUGCUUUAUACGGUUCAGACAAUUUAUUAUUCGAAAACUUGCUAUAUUGAUUCUUCGGUUUCACUCGCCUGGAUCUGAACCUCUGAUUUUUCAGGCCCUUGAACACCGGAACAUAUCUUUUAGAUCAUGGAUCUGAUUUUUUAAGAUUUUUGAUAUAUUGAAUUUGAAAAAAAAAAAAAUGAGUAAGUUGUUAUUUGAUGGAAAGUUAUUGGCAAACGCACUCUGUCCCUAAACUGUAUCAAGUGUUUUGAGGCAAUUUCUUCGUUUGCCAUAGUAAAGUUUAGUUUAUCUUUCAAAUUCAUUUGCCUGUAUUAUUGAGAAUGGUUUAUCCUUUCCAUGAUUUUAUUGGCACAUGAUUGAGAAAUACAUUUUGUCACAUGGUGGUUGAUGAAUUGAAUUGGAUAAUAUCUUGAAGAAUCUGAUUAAAUUAUUGAAUUCAUAUUUGACAAGUGCUUUUACAUGUCUGGCAGAUUUAAGAACUUUGUUCGGAUAUCGGAUUUGAUAGGACUUGAUGAAGGGAUUUUAUCCGUUUAAAACCUUGGAGAAUGGAGACUACAAGAUUACCUUGACAGGUACAGAAAAAUUUUUGAAGUACGCUGGAAAAAAUUAUUGAUGAUACAAAGAAGAGGGAUAAAUCAAUGUUGAUCCAAUGUGAAAUAUUUUACGAUCCUCUAGAUUCAUGGUUUUAAAAAUUGGAUUGGAUUAGAUCGACAUAAAACCUAAAGAGAAAGGGAUAAAUCUUUCUGAUCCAUAUAAAACCAGAUUCAUGGUUUUAAAAAUUGGAUUGGAUUAGAUCGACAUAAAACCUAAAGAGAAAGGGAUAAAUCUUUCUGAUCCAUAUAAAACCAUGGCUGAAAUUGGUUUCUGGAACCCUAGAAUUGACAUUUUAUUUGCAGUUCUUUUAUUGUAUUCACUAAAAUCAUAUAUUAUUGUCAUAGGGGACCUGAUCACCAUUGCCUUUCUGUUAAUUGCCAUGUGUAAAGAGACAAUAUGGCGGUCUAGAUAAUGGAAAAAUAAGUACAAACAAUACACAGAUUUAUGAGUAUUCACACAA